AUAUCAUCCCUAAAAAUAUCUCAAAAAGUUCUCUCUCUCUAAAAAAAAAUCUAUCUGCCUUCUUUCUAAAAACUCUCGCAACCGCCGCCCUCCAUCGAGGGUUACUGGUUCUGGUGGCUUUUUCAGCACCGGAACCGGGGUUUUUUUCUUUGUUCCAUGUUUUAGUUUCGUUUCCCUUUCUCUAACGGCGCAUCCAAGCUUCUUUUCUUCCAACGUUUCACAUCUAGAUUUUCAGAUCUAAAUUUAUAAAGUCUAAAUCUUCUUCCUUUGGGUUCUCGCGGCUUGUCUUUUGUUCUCCUCCACGCUUAGCCUCAGAUAUGGCGGAUCCAUCCAUGGCAAAGGUGCAGGUUCGAUCUGAUCCUUCUUCGCCUCAGACUUUGAAAUUCCACCUUGAAGAUCUCGAUCUCCUUCAUUCCUACAAGUGACUCUCAUUCCAUCGAGUUUAGGUUGAGGUAAGGAGAGUCUUCUAGUCUCAGAUCUGUUAUUUAAUUUUGAUUUAGGCUUUGUAAGUUUAAUUUGAGUCUUUGGAUUAUGAAUCCGGGAAGUUUUUUGUUCGGAUGUUUUGUAUUUAGUUGGUUCGGGUUUUUUCCCCUAAAGUUUCUCUUUAGUUUGAUCUUUGUCUCUGGGAGUUUUCAUGUACUCGCCGGCUUAGACUAUGGAAGGGUUUGUCCCUUGCCGGCUUUUGUAUUCCAUGUUUAUCUAUGAAAUCUAUCUUUCUUUUUUUUUUUGUCUAAAUUUAUUAUUAAUUGCAAAUUA
This 756-nucleotide long non-coding RNA is filed under the name Arabidopsis lyrata. RNAcentral's name for it is "long non-coding RNA (ALYR_LNC003250)". The record is from RNAcentral. Lineage: Eukaryota; Viridiplantae; Streptophyta; Magnoliopsida; Brassicales; Brassicaceae.